GAAGGUAUGGCUCAGUGCUAGAGUGCACGCUUAGCAUGCAUGAGGUCCUGGGUUCAAUCCCCAGUACCUCCA
Camelus ferus (Wild Bactrian camel) is the source of this 72-nucleotide transfer RNA. It matches the Rfam family "tRNA". From Rfam's summary of the family: Transfer RNA (tRNA) molecules are approximately 80 nucleotides in length. Their secondary structure includes four short double-helical elements and three loops (D, anti-codon, and T loops). The record is from Rfam. NCBI's taxonomy places the organism in Eukaryota, Metazoa, Chordata, Mammalia, Artiodactyla, Camelidae.